CCGACCGCUGACGUUGCACGCUGGCGGAGCCAAGCUGUCAUGGCCGCAAGACGCGAGGCCCCGAGUGGACCACGUUUAGGCGCACUAAGUUUACUGUUGCAAGGUGUUCAGCGCAGUAAUUGCGGAGAGUGUGCGGGCAUCGUGGGGCGUUUGUGUCUCGGCGCUGGGCGGUCCUCUGCGUGUUUGGGUGGCGUGCCGCGGUGAAUUCUACACGGCUCCUGCUGGCGGGAAGCCUCCCCUUUUCUUUCUCUUUUAAUAUUCUCCGUGUACCUGGUCUGUUCUGUGGUCGUGGCCCUUGGCUCUCUGAAGUCUUCGUCUUGGGGGAAGAGCUACUGCGAGGCG
This is a long non-coding RNA of Boleophthalmus pectinirostris (great blue-spotted mudskipper), 342 nucleotides long. RefSeq lists it as uncharacterized. Lineage: Eukaryota; Metazoa; Chordata; Actinopteri; Gobiiformes; Gobiidae. The record is from RefSeq and is a predicted model, not a curated record. The transcript has 3 exons.